UUAUUUCUUGUAUUUGAUUCAGACACACGGGCUUAGAUUGCAGCAUAAAUGCGACGCCGAAGCACAUGUUGCUUCCACAGGUUUGUAAGGUUGAAGGCCAAGAGCCAUUCAGUAAUGAUCCCUCCGCAGGUUCACCUACGGAGA
RNAcentral lists this unclassified non-coding RNA (144 nucleotides) under uncultured fungus. RNAcentral describes it as "sequence contains ITS1". Lineage: Eukaryota; Fungi. The record is from RNAcentral.